CCUGGUGGUUAUAGCAAAAAUGAAACACCCGAUCCCAUCUCGAACUCGGAAGUGAAACUUUUUAGCGCUAAUGGUACUUGAAAAGGGAGAGUAGGUCGCUGCCAGGU
RNAcentral lists this ribosomal RNA (107 nucleotides) under Wolbachia pipientis. The record is from RNAcentral. Lineage: Bacteria; Pseudomonadati; Pseudomonadota; Alphaproteobacteria; Rickettsiales; Anaplasmataceae.